RNAcentral lists this ribosomal RNA (497 nucleotides) under uncultured Desulfobulbus sp. Its description in RNAcentral is "bacterial SSU rRNA". It matches the Rfam family "Bacterial small subunit ribosomal RNA", at positions 903 to 1382 of the family's 1533-position model. The record is from RNAcentral. Lineage: Bacteria; Pseudomonadati; Thermodesulfobacteriota; Desulfobulbia; Desulfobulbales; Desulfobulbaceae.
CCAGAAACUACAAAGGAAGUUGACGGGGGCCCGGCACAAGCGGUGGAGUAUGUGGUUAAUUCGAUGCAACGCGAAGAACCUUACCUGGUCUUGACAUCCCGGAGACCCUUAGGAAACUAGGGGGUGCUUCCAUCUGGAAGAAUCUGGAGACAGGUGCUGCAUGGCUGUCGUCAGCUCGUGUCGUGAGAUGUUGGGUUAAGUCCCGCAACGAGCGCAACCCUUGCCUUUAGUUGCCAGCAGUUCGGCUGGGCACUCUAAAGGGACUGCCGGUGUUAAACCGGAGGAAGGUGGGGAUGACGUCAAGUCCUCAUGGCCUUUAUGACCAGGGCUACACACGUACUACAAUGGCCGAUACAAAGGGCAGCGACACUGCGAGGUGAAGCCAAUCCCGUAAAAUCGGUCUCAGUCCGGAUUGGAGUCUGCAACUCGACUCCAUGAAGUUGGAAUCGCUAGUAAUCGUGGAUCAGUAUGCCACGGUGAAUACGUUCCCGGGCCUU